RNAcentral lists this small RNA (28 nucleotides) under Bombyx mori (domestic silkworm). RNAcentral's name for it is "ovarian small RNA-26625". The record is from RNAcentral. Lineage: Eukaryota; Metazoa; Arthropoda; Insecta; Lepidoptera; Bombycidae.
UCCACAAUCCUAUUACGGAGACCGGAGG